This 2308-nucleotide long non-coding RNA is filed under the name Manihot esculenta (cassava). Its description in RNAcentral is "long non-coding RNA (MESC_LNC007012)". The record is from RNAcentral. Lineage: Eukaryota; Viridiplantae; Streptophyta; Magnoliopsida; Malpighiales; Euphorbiaceae.
UUUACUGUGAGCUCAGGCAUGUAGUAUUGCUGGUAGCAAUGAUGCCCUGAUUAUCAGUUUGUUGUUUGAAAUACACAAGUUUUAGACACUGCAUGUUUUGCACAAAGUGGUGCUCCUUAACCGCAUAAUUCGUUACGAAAUGGCAUAUGCAUGAGAGCUGUAGAAUCCUUAGUUGAAGGCAUAUGCAAUGACUAAAGGACGUUUGAUAAAGAGUCCUAGAUUUAUGUUAUCUUGAUUGGUUUGUCUAUUCAGUAACAAACAAUAAGCAGAAUAUGCUUCUACUAUUUCCUGUUCUGGUUAAAUUGAUAUGUUAUGGUAGAAAAUUAUAUAGUGCGUGUCUAUUAAAAUGUGGGAAUGCCCUUUUGGGCAUGUAAUGGUAGUCUGAAGGUGUUUCUCUCUGGAGAAUUUUGUGCUAUAGUUCUAGACAAGAUAAAGUGCCACAGCUAAUUUACUAAUGAGGAUUAGGUUGAUCAAUUUGUAGCCUUUGUUGACAUGAUAAUAUAUUAUGAUCAGUAUUUCUUUUCAGAGACUAAACUGAGAUUCGAAAAAUUUGUAUAUCAGGUUUUCAAGACGCAUCCAUAUUGUGUGCAUGUGUGUGUAUGUGUGUUUUUUUUUCUCUUUCAAAUGGCAGCAUGGCAUAGAAAUGAGAUAGACCUGCAGGCUGCAUCAAAAGGUUAACAUAGGCAAGCUAGGUGUGCAUUCAGUCAGUUUGGUUCUUAACUGAAUUGAAACCAAGAACCAAAACCCCAAACUACAGAUUAUGAAUAACCCAACCAAAAUAUGGAUUUGGUUCAUAGGUUCUGAUUUCAGCAAACAAAAACUCACAAAAACCACUUCUACUCUCAUCAGAAGUUCCCAACAAAACAUAGAAACAAACCCAAACCAUGUUCAGAUUUCAACAAACAUUCCAACAAUACAAAAUCUAACAUGAACAAGAUAAAGAAUAAUAAAGUAAACUCAAUGAAACAAUCAGGUUUCUCCCAAUCAAUUUCAAGAAUUAAACCAAAAUAGAUCUUAUACUUUCAACAAACAAUACAAAUUCAAUAAUCAAAGUUCCCAACAAAACAUAGAAACAAAUCCAAACCAUGUUCAGAUUUCAACAAACAUUCCGACAAUACAAAAUCUAACAUGAACAAGAUAAAGAAUAAUAAAGUAAACUCAAUGAAACAAUCAGGUUUCUCCCAAUCAAUUUCAAGAAUUAAACCAAAAUAGAUCUUAUACUUUCUACAAACAAUACAAAUUCAAUAAUCAAAGUUCCCAACAAAACAUAGAAACAAAUCCAAACCAUGAUCAGAUUUCAACAAACAUUCCAACAAUACAAAAUCUAACAUGAACAAGAUAAAGAAUAAUAAAGUAAACUCAAUGAAACAAUCAGGUUUCUCCCAAUCAAUUUCAAGAAUUAAACCAAAAUAGAUCUUAUACUUUCAACAAACAAUACAAAUUCAAUAAUCACUUAAAACAAUUUCAAUUAGUCAAAUAACAAAAUCUGGAGUGGAGACUUGAGUCAGCAUGAGAAAUAAGAGAUUUGGAUUGUGAUGAAUCGAACAGGAGAGGUGAGGGAGUCGACUCAGUAAUGGCUUGAGAUGCAGCAUAAAGAUUCGAGAUGUGAACAUCAACGGUGAGAACGAGAACAUCGAUGGCUUCUUCUUGUGACUCUCAUCUGGCUUCAUCUUGUGAGAAUAUUGAUGACAAGACCUGAGCUAGCCUAUGGCUUCACUGGAGAGUGAGAGAGCCAGGGGGACAACUUGUGAGCAAUGGGACAGAUGAGAGAAAAGCGAAGGGUUUGAAAUGAAGCACAGGAUCGAAGAGAAAAAGUGUGUAUAAAUACCUAUGUAAAACAAUACAAAAUUUGACUAUCUAGGUUCUAUUGAGUUAUUCCAGAUAGUUUCGAUCUUAAUAACCAAACUGAAAUUCUCUAAAAUAACUAAUCAAAACUGAACCGAAAGAUUGAAUUAAAUUAAAUCGGUUUGGUUUUUCAAUUAAAGCUGAAAUGUGCUCACCACUACUAGCUAAUUAAAUGUUGUUCAAAGAUCAUUUUCUCAUGAAGAAUGAGAGAUGGCAUGAUUGCUAUUCAUAGGCCAACUCAUUGCACAAAGUUAUGAUUGGUGAUCAGGAUAGACCUGAGAUUGAGAAUCGCAUGAGAAGACAUAUGAAAAUGCCUUAUCAAUUGUUGUAAUUGAGAACCAGCAAGUUUUGUCAUUUUAUUAUGUUGACAGAAACAUUUACAAAUAUAUCUAAAUGUUCUUGUGUGCUUUUGUGCCACUGUAAGGGCUGACAUUAAUUUCUGUUUGCCUCUUUUCAUUUGGCU